AACGCGAAGAACCUUACCUGGGCUCGAAAUGUAGUGGAUCGAGGUAGAAAUAUCUCUUUCUCGCAAGAGACUGCUAUAUAGGUGCUGCAUGGCUGUCGUCAGCUCGUGUCGUGAGAUGUUGGGUUAAGUCCCGCAACGAGCGCAACCCUUAUCUUUAGUUGCCAUCAGGUCAAGCUGGGCACUCUAACGAAACCGCCCCGGAUAACGGGGAGGAAGGUGGGGAUGAUGUCAAGUCAUCAUGGCCCUUAUGUCCAGGGCUACAAGCGUGCUACAAUGGACUACACAAAGGGUUGCAAACUCGUGAGAGCCAGCUAAUCCCAAAAAGUAGUCCUCAGUUCGGAUCGGAGUCUGCAACUCGACUCCGUGAAGUUGGAAUCGCUAGUAAUCGCGGAUCAGAACGCCGCGGUGAAUACGUUCCCGGGCCUUGUACACACCGUAGAGAC
RNAcentral lists this ribosomal RNA (443 nucleotides) under uncultured bacterium. Its description in RNAcentral is "bacterial SSU rRNA". It matches the Rfam family "Bacterial small subunit ribosomal RNA", at positions 958 to 1400 of the family's 1533-position model. The record is from RNAcentral.